CACGUAGGGUGCGAGCGUUAAUCGGAAUUACUGGGCGUAAAGCGUGCGCAGGCGGUUUGCUAAGACAGGUGUGAAAUCCCCGGGCUUAACCUGGGAACUGCGCUUGUGACUGGCAGGCUAGAGUACGGUAGAGGGGGGUGGAAUUCCUGGUGUAGCAGUGAAAUGCGUAGAUAUCAGGAGGAACACCGAUGGCGAAGGCAGCCCCCUGGGCCUGUACUGACGCUCAUGCACGAAAGCGUGGGGAGCAAACAGGAUUAGAUACCCCU
Molecule: ribosomal RNA, 266 nt
Filed under: uncultured prokaryote
Description: partial 16S ribosomal RNA
Rfam family: Bacterial small subunit ribosomal RNA
Source: RNAcentral